UGCUUUUCUAUCCCGCAUUAC
Caenorhabditis elegans is the source of this 21-nucleotide non-coding RNA. NCBI's taxonomy places the organism in Eukaryota, Metazoa, Nematoda, Chromadorea, Rhabditida, Rhabditidae. The record is from Ensembl.